Molecule: non-coding RNA, 76 nt
Organism: Podarcis lilfordi (Lilford's wall lizard)
Lineage: Eukaryota; Metazoa; Chordata; Lepidosauria; Squamata; Lacertidae
Source: the annotation of a GenBank genome assembly
GCAUCCACCUAGCUCAGUCAGUAGAGUAUGAGACUCUUAAAUUUCAGGGUUGUGGGUCCGAGCCCCACAUUAGGCA